Molecule: ribosomal RNA, 463 nt
Filed under: uncultured bacterium
Lineage: Bacteria
Description: partial 16S ribosomal RNA
Rfam family: Bacterial small subunit ribosomal RNA
Source: RNAcentral
GAUGAACGCUGACAGAAUGCUUAACACAUGCAAGUCUUUGGCGAAGCUGUGCUUGCACAGCCUAGCCAAGGCGGACGGGUGAGUAACGCGUAAGGAACUUGCCCUGCAGUCAGGGAUAACAGACGGAAACGACUGAUAAGACCUGGUAAAGUCAGGCGGACUCAUGUCCAGCCUGAUGAAAAGAGAUGCUGCAGGAGAGCCUUGCGUCCUAUUAGCUUGUUGGUGGGGUAACGGCCCACCAAGGCGAUGAUAGGUAGCCGGCCUGAGAGGGUGGACGGCCAAAAGGGGACUGAGAUACGGCCGUUACUCCUACGGGAGGAAGCAGGGGGGAAUAUUGGACAAUGGGGGCAACCCUGAUCAAGCAAUUCUGUGUGCACGAUGAAGGUUUUCGGAUUGUAAAGUGCUUUCAGCAGGGAAGAAAAAAAUGACGGUACCUGCAGAAGAAGCGACGGCUAAAUACGUG